Molecule: long non-coding RNA, 1496 nt
Organism: Pezoporus occidentalis (night parrot)
Lineage: Eukaryota; Metazoa; Chordata; Aves; Psittaciformes; Psittacidae
Exons: 4
Source: RefSeq, a predicted model, not a curated record
CAUAUCUCUGCAGAAUGAAGGUUGCGUUGCUCUAUUCCUUGCAUAGCUUCCUUCUACAGUGGUCUCAAACUGCAGUGGAGCUCACGUGCUGCAUUGCAGAGGAGCCAUCUCCACUGACCUGAGUGCCAAUUUCACAGCCAUCAAUAGUGACUGCCAAGGUUCCCACCUGGGCAGUUUGACCUUCCUGUCAUGAACCACCCUAUUCUCUUCUAACAGUCUUGAGUUUCCUGUGACCCAGAUGUGGUGCCUUAGCUGAUCUUCCCCCAGGUACCGAUGGGUGCUCACCGUUACCCAAAGAAGUUAGCCACCACAGAGAAGACGUAUCUCCCUUAGGUGGUGAAGAACUCUGCUGUUGGGUGGAUGACAUGGAAGUGCCUGUGAAGAUUUACAGCUGGGAGAAGAAAACCAAUACAUUUUCAUUCUGCUGGGAAGACUGGACAAAAGGCAGGAGCCCCCAGGCCGUUGACUCCCUCACAGCCCUCCCUCAUCAGUCCUUCACCCUUCUCCCUGCCCUUGUAUAGCAGCAUCUCGGGGACCAUAUUUCCUCCUGAGUUUUGAAAGCAGGACGGGACCUGGGUUUGUCACCACCUUGGCGAGACCUCCUGAAAGGGUUUUGCUGCUGUGUCCAAAGGCUGUGUCCAACUAGAAUGCUGCCAUUUAUAAACAGGAAUUAAAAUGAAAUGAGGAAAAAUGUCACUGGGAAUUGGUUACUGAGAGACACAAAGUCUUGCAUCUUUAAGGAUCCCAAAGCAUCUCCAAAACUGUCUGCAUUUGCCAGUGCUAAAGGCAAGGGCAAGAGUACAGCAAAACAGGCCGAGCAAAGGAGAAAUGCUUACCAACCUCUGCAGCAAACCUUCUGCCUACUGAGGACAGCCACAGGAUGUUAAAUCGCAUGAUUAGCAGAUAGUCUUGGGUGAAUAUUUUUGGAAAACCCCUAAGUAACCUAAAAAAAUGAAUCCUGUUGACUCCCAAUGCAAUGUUGAAAGACAAAACUUCACUGGAAAUACGAGUUCAUAAGCCACAGCCUUUGAAACAGCCACUCGUCAUCGCAGAGCAUCUUUUGUCGACAGACAAAAACGUGUUUUCGCAGCAGGCAGAGCUGGGGGGGAUGUGGACCAGCUCUGAUCCAAAUGCAUGGUGGGCAGAUCCAAGCAGCGUGAAGCCUGAGCCAAGAAACUCAGCCUCUUGCCAGGUUUAUUGGCUGAGGUUCAGCACAUGCAUAAAUGUAGAGGGGCUUUUCGGAUGGAGGCCGUCUGCAUCCUACCGGUCCAUCGGGAAGAAGUUGGUCUGUCUGCAAAGAGCACACUGGUGAACCCAAAAUUGCUGUAAUGGAAAUGAUGCUCUGCUGCCUGCUGGCAGGAGGGUGAGGAUAAGCACCCAACUGGUUCUGGUUAGCAACUGUCGGUUUAAGAAGCCACUUCCAAACAGUUACAUACCUUCCUGAUUUAUUAAUUGAUAUUUUACCAUGUUGAGGAUAGCUUUGCUUGAUACUGAUG